This 898-nucleotide ribosomal RNA is filed under the name Zythia pinastri. RNAcentral's name for it is "LSU rRNA". It matches the Rfam family "Eukaryotic large subunit ribosomal RNA", at positions 38 to 953 of the family's 3401-position model. The record is from RNAcentral. Lineage: Eukaryota; Fungi; Ascomycota; Sareomycetes; Sareales; Zythiaceae.
GCAUAUCAAUAAGCGGAGGAAAAGAAACCAACAGGGAUUGCCUCAGUAACGGCGAGUGAAGCGGCAAUAGCUCAAAUUUGAAAUCUGGCUCUUUCAGGGUCCGAGUUGUAAUUUGUAGAGGAUGCUUCGGGUGUGGCUCCGGUCUAAGUUCCUUGGAACAGGACGUCAUAGAGGGUGAGAAUCCCGUAUGUGACUGGAAGCCUUCGUCCAUGUGAAGCUCCUUCGACGAGUCGAGUUGUUUGGGAAUGCAGCUCAAAAUGGGUGGUAAAUUUCAUCUAAAGCUAAAUACUGGCCAGAGACCGAUAGCGCACAAGUAGAGUGAUCGAAAGAUGAAAAGCACUUUGGAAAGAGAGUUAAAAAGUACGUGAAAUUGUUGAAAGGGAAGCGCUUGCAACCAGACUUGCUCGCGGUUGCUCAGCCGGUGUUCUCACCGGUGCACUCUUCCGCGAUCAGGCCAGCAUCGGUUUGGGCGGCUGGAUAAAGGCUCUGGGAAUGUGGCUCCUCUCGGGGAGUGUUAUAGCCCAGGGUGCAAUGCAGCCCGCCCGGAUCGAGGACCGCGCUUCGGCUAGGAUGCUGGCGUAAUGGUUGUAAGCGACCCGUCUUGAAACACGGACCAAGGAGUCUAACAUCUAUGCGAGUGUUUGGGUGUCAAACCCAUGCGCGUAAUGAAAGUGAACGGAGGUGAGAACCCUUAAGGGUGCAUCAUCGACCGAUCCUGAUGUCUUCGGAUGGAUUUGAGUAAGAGCAUAGCUGUUGGGACCCGAAAGAUGGUGAACUAUGCCUGAAUAGGGUGAAGCCAGAGGAAACUCUGGUGGAGGCUCGCAGCGGUUCUGACGUGCAAAUCGAUCGUCAAAUUUGGGUAUAGGGGCGAAAGACUAAUCGAACCAUCUAGUAGCUG